This is a small nuclear RNA of Cavia aperea (Brazilian guinea pig), 119 nucleotides long. The record is from Ensembl. Lineage: Eukaryota; Metazoa; Chordata; Mammalia; Rodentia; Caviidae.
GGCGUGCAUGAAAGGAGAGAAGGUUAGCACUUCCCCUGACAAGGAUGGACGAAGCCCUCAGACAUGCAUAUGGUUAACACCUUGUAACCUUCUUAGAGGCAGCUAAACAAACGCCAUUU